UAUUCUUUAUCUUAGGGAAAGUAUAGAA
This 28-nucleotide small RNA is filed under the name Bombyx mori (domestic silkworm). Its description in RNAcentral is "ovarian small RNA-24181". The record is from RNAcentral. Lineage: Eukaryota; Metazoa; Arthropoda; Insecta; Lepidoptera; Bombycidae.